UGCGCAGGCGGACCGGCAAGCGUCUUGUGAAAGCCCCCGGCUCAACCGGGGAACUGCAGGGCGAACUGCCGGUCUUGAGGCAGGUAGGGGCCGACAGAACCAUCGGUGGAGCGGUGAAAUGCGUAGAUAUCGAUGGGAAUGCCAGUGGCGAAGGCGGUCGGCUGGGCCUGUCCUGACGCUCAUGCACGAAAGCGUGGGGAGCGAACG
Molecule: ribosomal RNA, 207 nt
Filed under: uncultured bacterium
Lineage: Bacteria
Description: partial 16S ribosomal RNA
Rfam family: Bacterial small subunit ribosomal RNA
Source: RNAcentral